UUACUGGAAACCAAGUCAGGUUAAUCCUUGGUGCUUCUGCACUUCCCCCAACACUUGAUUGCAUGACUCGGCUUACUUGCCAGAGAGUACGUUGGACUAUUCCUAAUUUAGUCCACGCCCCUUGAGGUAGCCGAUCAAAUUAUAGUCGUGCAGCUCUGUUGCGCAAAAAACAAAGAAAAAAGAAAGAAAAGGAUUGCUUCAGUUGCACUACAACAACAUGGCCAAAAUGCAAUUCCUAAUUCAUUGCUCUGUGUCCUAACUCAGAUUAGCUUCUUCGACUUGCCGCAGGCUGAGAGAAAAUGGACCAUCAACAGAAGAACGGCACCGGAAUGAAGAGAACCCUACAGUUAUCAAGCCCAAUAUUCAAUUCAGCAAUCACUUCAGAGGAAGAAGCUGUGAUACAAAGAGAUGCCAAACUUGAAUCAUGAUAUUCGCUUUGCGUCGUUGACAUCACUUAUAACAUCUUGGACGAUGUUGACCCAGCCUCCAUGAUAAUUA
RNAcentral lists this long non-coding RNA (498 nucleotides) under Coffea arabica (coffee). RNAcentral's name for it is "long non-coding RNA (CARA_LNC005498)". Lineage: Eukaryota; Viridiplantae; Streptophyta; Magnoliopsida; Gentianales; Rubiaceae. The record is from RNAcentral.